This 446-nucleotide ribosomal RNA is filed under the name uncultured bacterium. RNAcentral's name for it is "partial 16S ribosomal RNA". It matches the Rfam family "Bacterial small subunit ribosomal RNA", at positions 338 to 795 of the family's 1533-position model. The record is from RNAcentral.
CCUACGGGUGGCAGCAGUCGAGAAUCAUUCACAAUGGGGGAAACCCUGAUGGUGCGACGCCGCGUGGGGGAAUGAAGGUCUUCGGAUGGUAAACCCCUGUCAUGUGGGAGCAAAUUAAAAAGAUAGUACCACAAGAGGAAGAGACGGCUAACUCUGUGCCAGCAGCCGCGGUAAUACAGAGGUCUCAAGCGUUGUUCGGAAUCACUGGGCGUAAAGCGUGCGUAGGCGGUUUCGUAAGUCGUGUGUGAAAGGCGCGGGCUCAACCCGCGGACGGCACAUGAUACUGCGAGACUAGAGUAAUGGAGGGGGAACCGGAAUUCUCGGUGUAGCAGUGAAAUGCGUAGAUAUCGAGAGGAACACUCGUGGCGAAGGCGGGUUCCUGGACAUUAACUGACGCUGAGGCACGAAGGCCAGGGGAGCGAAAGGGAUUAGAUACCCUAGUAGUC